UCUAUUUAUACCAACAAGAAAAUAUAAAUCAAAGAGAAAAGAAAAUUUCUAUCUCCAAUAAGAUUCAAAGAUCGUAAAAAUCUUCCAAUAUUAACAUCUCAACGAAACCAAAUUUCCAUGAAAUCAAAACCCCAUAAAACUAGACAUCAAAUUAUAAAAGUCAAUAGCAAAUUUCAAAUUUAUAGGACAUGUUUAAAAUCCAAUUAGUAUAAUGUAUUACAUACACACACAUGAAGGAUUUCACAACUUGAAAAGCAAACAUCCACUCAUAAAGAGUUAAACCAAAGAAGACUGACAUGCACACAUGAAGAAUUCAUACUUUCAUGCAUAUACACACAUGAAGAAAAGUCAAUCUUACCCACAUGCAUACUAAAAUCUUACACACACAUGACCCUGUAUGUUAAAAUCAACAGAGAACACAGGACUUCAAUCAAGGUGAGACGACAGACAACAUGUGUAACCUGAACAGAUGAAAACCCCAAGACAUGUAUGUUUUCUACAAUCAACACCAAGGACACUGGAAUAAUUUGGAAAUUAAAGACUGAUGGUGAAGGGGUCACAUAAGAAUUCAUCAUACAUGUUAACUUCACAUAUAGGUACAUGCAUAUACAGUCAUACAUAAAGUACAACAUAAAGAAAUCUCAUGGAAGGGGUAAGUAACAACUCAUAAAUAAUGCACACACAUAAUUCAUAUUGACAUAUUUUUUAGUUUCUGCAGGACUCGGGCAGACAGGAAGAUAUACAAUUUGAAUGACUUUUGAACAGAACUCAUAUGCAAAUGUAACAUAGCUAGGGAAGUUGAAACUCAAGGUAGAUAGGGACAGAUUGCUAUUAUAUCUAUAAUUAGUUAAGAAACAUGUUUACCUUAGGAAUCGAUAGUGUUAUAAAAGCUCUUAGAAUAUGUCAUACUUCAUUGAAAUAAGAAAGUUUACUUUGUUACAAAACUGUUUUGAUUGUUGAAUCAGUUAUGUGUGUUCAAAACAUAUUUUUGUAUUGAAUUUAUUUUUUUCAUUUCCUCUUCCAUUUUCCUACAAUCCCAAAUCUUAUAUUAGAAGUUAGAUAGAUUAGAAUAGUAAAGAUAGAUUAAGUUUUUAUUUUGGGGGUUGUGGAAUAUUUAGGAUAGUAUAUUCUCAUAGAAUAGACAGAAUGAAUUAGAAUAUAAUUUUGGUAAGUAUUAUAAAUAUGGUACAAAAACUCUGGUUGACUUUUGUGGAAAAAACUGAAAUGGAGAUUUUGUGAUCAAGAGAAAUGGGCAAAGACAGAAGAAAAGAGAUGAAAUGCAAAGAAGAUGAGCUCAGGAAGAACAGAUGGAAUUCUCCAGACCCAGUGGGGGAGGGGAGAAUUCCAUAGAAGGUUCAAGAGGAGGAGCAGUUAGCCAGAACAGUUUCUGGUCUGGUCACUUCAACAUUACAAAACUUAGAAAAAAAAAGAAAGCAUCUUGGAGAAGAGAAUGAUCAGCAAUGACUAAGAAUGAACCAAGGAAAGCAUCAUGAAUCUGCAAGAGAACAGAGAGGCCCAGAGGAGACGUCCUGCCCAGGAGGUGAGGCAUAGUUCAGACUGUUCUGUAAAGAAACCACAGACAUCCAGCCUGGCAGAGCACAAUUGAUUACUAAACUAGGACAUGACAGGAUGGUUGUGCAUAGUUUGCCUGAAGUUUAGCAAAACUUUUGGUAAAACAUCACACACUUAUGGAGAAGAUGAAGAAAUGAGGAAUGGAUAGUAGAUAAUUCAACCAGAUGGAUUCAUAACUGAUUGGAUGGUUAGAUGCAAAGAGUAAUUGUUAAUGGUGCAAUCUCACUGUGGCAGGUCUCCAGUGGAGCACUCCAGGGAUCUGUAUCCUAACUGGUGCUGCUGAACAUUGGUAUCAAGGAUUUGGAUCAAUAUAUAGAUGAUAUCCUCAUCAAAUUUGCUAAUAACAUAAAACUAAGAGGGAAUACUAACAGUGCAAGGCAAAGUUGGCAUGCCAAAGUUGAGCGCUGGAAUAAAAUCUAAUAUUAGAGAUAAAUGGGACUGAUCAGUCUUGACCUGAACCUAUGACUUGUCCACAUCAGUGUCUUUCCAGUGCCUGACCCAGAUCCCAGUUCUGUCUUUGAGCCUGAACCAGAGCAGCACAGAUUCCCCAGAGAUGGAAGAGAUCUUGAAAAACCAACUAAUUCAUCCCUCUGUCCCCAAGCUUUACUGUGUUCAGAUUGGUCCAAGCCAAGACAGUCCCGCCCUGAAGAUUUGGAAAACAUAUAAGGAUGCUUGGUAGUGGAGGGCAAGUCUACAAUUUAAUUCAAUAAAUUUACUAAGUAUCUGCUUCAUGAAAGGUACCAUUAAUAACUCAUAUUUAUAGUCUUCCAAAUUCGCAGACACUUUCUUCGCAGUAACCCUCUGAUUUGGAAGCUGAGGCUAAGAUGAAGUGACUUGUUUAUGAUCUCACAGUAAGCAAAUAUCAUGGGCAGAAUAUGAAAUCCAAUUGCCAGCCUCCUGAUCCUGAAUCUUGAGGAUGAUUGAUCUGGGGAGUGCUCCCUCUCCUGCCAGCCUAGGACUCCAUGGGAAACUAGAGUUCUUCAAGGAUUGGGUUAAUAAACAGAUUCCAUGACUCGA
Long non-coding RNA from Monodelphis domestica (gray short-tailed opossum), 2589 nucleotides. RefSeq lists it as uncharacterized. The record is from RefSeq and is a predicted model, not a curated record. NCBI's taxonomy places the organism in Eukaryota, Metazoa, Chordata, Mammalia, Didelphimorphia, Didelphidae.